CGGAUUGUAGUCUGNAACCCGACUACAUGAAGCUGGAAUCGCUAGUAAUCGCGCAUCAGCCACGGCGCGGUGAAUACGUUCCCGGGCCUUGUACACACCGCCCGUCAAGCCAUGGAAGCCGGGAGUGCCUGAAGUACGCGACCGCAAGGAGCGUCCUAAGGUAAAACCGGUGACUGGGGCUAAGUCGUAACAAGGUACC
This 199-nucleotide ribosomal RNA is filed under the name uncultured bacterium. RNAcentral describes it as "partial 16S ribosomal RNA". It matches the Rfam family "Bacterial small subunit ribosomal RNA", at positions 1294 to 1500 of the family's 1533-position model. The record is from RNAcentral.